Alexandromys fortis (reed vole) is the source of this 126-nucleotide long non-coding RNA. RefSeq lists it as uncharacterized. Lineage: Eukaryota; Metazoa; Chordata; Mammalia; Rodentia; Cricetidae. The record is from RefSeq and is a predicted model, not a curated record. The transcript is spliced from 3 exons.
GGAGCCGUGCCCUUUUCUGAAGGGAAACAGAAGAAAGGUGGAUCUCGUGGAGAGGAGAGACUCACUUCCAAUGGAUAUUCACUAUCAGAAAAAUGAUAAGAGAUAUGCUACUUACAUCUGAGAUCU